This is a long non-coding RNA of Psammomys obesus (fat sand rat), 374 nucleotides long. RefSeq lists it as uncharacterized. The record is from RefSeq and is a predicted model, not a curated record. The transcript has 3 exons. Lineage: Eukaryota; Metazoa; Chordata; Mammalia; Rodentia; Muridae.
GUCCUCCUCCCCUCCCCGCUCUGGGCUGCUGGAGAAGCUCUUCCAGUACAUCGACCUCCACCAGGACGAGUUCGUGCAGACCCUGAAGGAGUGGGUGGCCAUUGAGAGUGACUCUGUGCAGCCGGUGCCUCAGCUCCGACAGGAGCUCUUCCGGAUGAUGGCCUUGGCUGCAGACAAGCUCCGACAGCUGGGAGCUGGAGUGGAUUCCGUAGACUUGGGCUCUCAGCAGAUGCCUGAUGGGCAGAGUCUUCGCAUCCCUCCCACCAUACUGGCUGAGCUGGGAAAUGAUGCCGAGAAGCCCACAGCAUGCUUCUAUGGGCACCUGGACGUGCAGCCAGCCCAGAAAGAGGAUGGCUGGCUCACAGACCCCUACA